Small nuclear RNA from Otolemur garnettii (small-eared galago), 107 nucleotides. Lineage: Eukaryota; Metazoa; Chordata; Mammalia; Primates; Galagidae. The record is from Ensembl.
GUGCUUGCUUUGGCAGCACAUAUAAUAAAAUUGAAACAAUACAGAGAAGAUUAGCAUGACUCACAUGCAAGGGUCACAUGCAGUUUUUUGAGACUGUCCAUAUUUUG